UGGGAUGACGUCAAGUCCUCAUGGCCCUUAUAGGUGGGCUACACACGUCAUACAAUGGCUGGUACAAAGGGUUGCCAACCCGCGAGGGAGCCAAUCCCAUAAAGCCAGUCGUAGUCCGGAUCGUAGUCUGCAACUCGACUACGUGAAGUCGGAAUCGCUAGUAAUCGUGGAUCAGAAUGUCACGGUGAAUACGUUCCCGGUCUU
Molecule: ribosomal RNA, 204 nt
Filed under: uncultured Rhodoferax sp.
Lineage: Bacteria; Pseudomonadati; Pseudomonadota; Betaproteobacteria; Burkholderiales; Comamonadaceae
Description: partial 16S ribosomal RNA
Rfam family: Bacterial small subunit ribosomal RNA
Source: RNAcentral